Molecule: non-coding RNA, 264 nt
Organism: Pelobates cultripes (western spadefoot toad)
Lineage: Eukaryota; Metazoa; Chordata; Amphibia; Anura; Pelobatidae
Source: the annotation of a GenBank genome assembly
GUGAGAGGAUGACUGGUGACAGAGUGAGGGGGUGACUAGUGACACAGUGAGGGAGGGGGUCACUAGUGGCAGAGUGAGGGAGGGGGUAACUGUCACUAGUCACCCCCUCCCUCUGUCCCUAGUCACCCACUCCCUCACUCUGUCACUAGUCGCCCCUUCCCUCCCUCUGUCACUAGUCACAGUCACACCCACCCUCUGUCACCCCUUCCCUCACUCUGUCACUAGUCACACCUUCCCUCUCUCUGUCACUAGUCACUCUGUCAC